CAACCGAACGAGCAAACCCGGUGAAAGCCGGCGACGCAAAACUAUAGGGGCUAAUGCGGAUCCGCUAUGCCAGCCAGGUGCCGAA
This 85-nucleotide non-coding RNA is filed under the name Cohnella sp. RNAcentral describes it as "c-di-GMP sequence". It matches the Rfam family "c-di-GMP-I riboswitch aptamer". From Rfam's summary of the family: GEMM was predicted in a large-scale screen for bacterial structured RNA regulatory elements. Genes associated with GEMM are involved in a diverse array of functions, including chemotaxis regulation, signal transduction, secretion and chitin. The record is from RNAcentral. Lineage: Bacteria; Bacillati; Bacillota; Bacilli; Caryophanales; Paenibacillaceae.